GGAGGGGUGUCCGAGCGGUUUAAGGUGCAGCUCUCGAAAAGCUGUGUGGUGCAAGCCACCGCGAGUUCGAAUCUCGCCCCCUCCG
This 85-nucleotide transfer RNA is filed under the name Chloroflexota bacterium. RNAcentral describes it as "Chloroflexi bacterium tRNA-Ser". It matches the Rfam family "tRNA". From Rfam's summary of the family: Transfer RNA (tRNA) molecules are approximately 80 nucleotides in length. Their secondary structure includes four short double-helical elements and three loops (D, anti-codon, and T loops). Further hydrogen bonds mediate the characteristic L-shaped molecular structure. tRNAs have two regions of fundamental functional importance: the anti-codon, which is responsible for specific mRNA codon recognition, and the 3' end, to which the tRNAs corresponding amino acid is attached (by aminoacyl-tRNA synthetases). tRNAs cope with the degeneracy of the genetic code in two manners: having more than one tRNA (with a specific anti-codon) for a particular amino acid; and 'wobble' base-pairing, i.e. permitting non-standard base-pairing at the 3rd anti-codon position. RNAcentral also lists the same sequence under 3 other names. The record is from RNAcentral. Lineage: Bacteria; Bacillati; Chloroflexota.